This 77-nucleotide transfer RNA is filed under the name Methylobacterium sp. RNAcentral describes it as "tRNA-Trp". It matches the Rfam family "tRNA". From Rfam's summary of the family: Transfer RNA (tRNA) molecules are approximately 80 nucleotides in length. Their secondary structure includes four short double-helical elements and three loops (D, anti-codon, and T loops). RNAcentral also lists the same sequence under 7 other names. The record is from RNAcentral. Lineage: Bacteria; Pseudomonadati; Pseudomonadota; Alphaproteobacteria; Hyphomicrobiales; Methylobacteriaceae.
AGGGGAGUAGCUCAGCUGGUUAGAGUGGCGGUCUCCAAAACCGUAGGUCGUGGGUUCGAAUCCCUCCUCCCCUGCCA